RNAcentral lists this ribosomal RNA (206 nucleotides) under uncultured bacterium. RNAcentral's name for it is "partial 16S ribosomal RNA". It matches the Rfam family "Bacterial small subunit ribosomal RNA", at positions 568 to 774 of the family's 1533-position model. The record is from RNAcentral.
CGCGUAGGCGGAUCGUUAAGUCAGGGGUGAAAUCCCAGAGCUCAACUCUGGAACUGCCUUUGAUACUGGCGAUCUUGAGUGUGAGAGAGGUAUGUGGAACUCCGAGUGUAGAGGUGAAAUUCGUAGAUAUUCGGAAGAACACCAGUGGCGAAGGCGACAUACUGGCUCAUUACUGACGCUGAGGCGCGAAAGCGUGGGAGCAAACA